Molecule: long non-coding RNA, 13669 nt
Filed under: Brassica napus (rape)
Lineage: Eukaryota; Viridiplantae; Streptophyta; Magnoliopsida; Brassicales; Brassicaceae
Description: long non-coding RNA (BNAP_LNC016792)
Source: RNAcentral
UCCUGCACCGGCCUCAAACCCAACUCCAUAUAUCAUAUGGGACGUGGCUUAGGUUUUUACGAUCUCACUACUGGAAACCCACAUCAGUACCUAGCUCCUGAUGGUGCACCCAGCGUUCUCACCCAACCUUACUGGCUUCCUCCUUUUUCUACCUAGAGGUAGUAGCUAUUGGGUGUGUUUGAUUAAUCUUAGUUACUCUUGACCAGUUUGGAUUGCUUCCUUUAGAUAAUGUGACUGUUGUUUUCGGUGCAAUUUCUAUACUGGUGACAUAUCUUAAGCUUAUAUAUAUAGUUAGUUAUAUAUAUAUAUAUAUUAUAUUGUUCAAGAUAUUGAUAUAUGUCUUUUUUUGUGUUAUAAUGAAAUUGAUGAACAAGUGACAAAAGUAACAAGAUUAGCAGCAGUUUACAACCAAUUGAAGGAUUUAGAUUCCUUUUGAACACUCAUCUUUGUCUUUAACCUCCUCUGCUUCACUGAGCAGAAUCUCAUCCACAAAAGCCUCCAUGUUCUUAUCACAUGACCCACCUUCUCUACCCGCUUCAACCGCUAAACGCUUCCAUUUCUCAGCGUUUUCCCUCAGCUCCACCAACCUCUCAUCCAUCAAGAUGGUGUCUGAAACCAAGACACAAUUAUACCAAAACAAGCUCGUGUCUGAAACCAUGUUAAUGCAUUCAACAGUAAACUGUGAUAGUCUUGCGUUGGAUUUCAUGCCGGUGGUCGGGAAAUCCGUUAUGAGGGUCAUAGCCGAUGUGGCCGCAGUGGAAGCCGGACUAAGCCCGAGUGACGUCAGCAACGUCAAAUACGAGGGCAGAGAAGCAUCAUGCUUUGAAAUCAGCACCGGCACUAGCAAGGAGCUCCAUGUCUUUGUUCACGAGAGUGCCAAAUUGGCUUUACAUAAUCGCCACAACCCUCAACAACCGUCAAGAGAGUGCCACUUUUGAUCGAGUCUAUGAUAUCCAGAUGCCGCAGAAUCCUAAGGGCGGGUGGGGAGGAGAUGGGGCUAGCAGCAGCUCCAAGAAGAAGUAAUGUUGGCGAGUAAGAUAGAGCUAGCAGCAGCUCCAAGAUGUGAUCUGUGAGUGUUCCUUAUGUUUGAUGUGUGUGGUGUGUAUUUCCCAGUACUAUGUUGCUUAUGAAUUAUGCUUUUAUGUUACAUUUCCUACUCUGCUUGCUGCUUAUGUAUGAUAUUUGUGCUUUCUAGACUUUGAUUAUAUAUAAAUGUGUGUGUUUUAUGAAAAGUACUAUCGACACCAUAGAACUUCUCAACUAGUACAGCUUUCAAAAAAAUAACUAAAUAGCGCACAAAAUUUUGGCCGAAGAACAUCUUGAUUGUUUGAAAACGCCAUUGGGUAUGUAAGAGUGUUGACAUAGAGUAUGACCAAGAAAUCUCAUAAAACAAGCAAAUGCACGUGGUGUACACUACAAGAGUUUCAAAAAAUGUUUUUAACCAUCAACUAAGAAAUGAGAUUCCAAGCUCAAUACAUCAUGAAUAACCUAAUUUGAUUGGCAAAUUUGCAGGAGCUGCUGCUCAGGUAAUGUUAGAAUGAGAGAAUUAUUGAGAGUUUAUUUAUGGAGAAUGAAGAAUAUGAAGAACAUAGAGAGAGAGAAAGUAGAUCUCAAAAUGUAAGAGGGAGAAUGAGAGAAUAAUUUCCUUAAUUUAAUUGUGGAUUUGAGUACAAGUAUUUAAAGACAAAUGAACUCAGUACACAAUAUAAUCAAAUAUAUUCUUCUCUCUUUUUCUUCUUUUCAAUAAAAUCGAGCUUAUAAAACCCUUAUAAAGCCUUAUAAAACCUUAUAAGGCUUAUAAAACCUUAUAAGUCUAGCAGCUUAAUUCUCAAGUCUGGCAGCUUAAUUCUCAAAUCUGGCAGCUUACUUCUGCUUCAUGUCAACACUCCCCCUCAAGCUUGACCAUAUGGAACAAGUCAAGCUUGGAAGCCAUGAAGUAUUCCCUCAUUAAAACCUCAACUAGGUAAAACCCUUUGGGAGAAAACCCAAGUCAAGGAAAAAGAGUAGAACACUUCAUGAAGGAGAUAUCAGUGACAUGAGAGGUCUAUGAGUCCCAAUUUUGGAUGGAUAAACUCACAGACUUUAGUGCUUGCUGCCUUGGUGAAGAUAUCAGCUAACUGAUCUUCACUUUUAGUAUAGCAGGGUAAAAUGAUCUUCUGCUCCACAGCUUGUCUCACCUUGUGACAGUCAACUUCAAUGUGCUUUGUCCUCUCAUGAAACACUGAGUUUGAUGCUAUAUGUAUGGCCGCCUGAUUGUCACAGUGCAUUGUCAUUGGUGUUGUUGUCUCUAUGCCCAAAUCCUUUAGUAAGUUUCUGAUCCAAAUGAGCUCACUAGUAAGCUUCCUCAUUGCUUUAUACUCUGCUUCAGCACUUGAACAAGACACCACCUUCUGCUUCUUGCUCUUCCAUGUGACCAGGUUUCCUCCAAUGAAGGUGCAAUAGCCUGUAGUUGAUCUCCUAUCAACUCUGUCUCCAGCCCAAUCAUCAUCACAAUACCCAACAACUUCAGUACUCUUGUUACAUGCCAUCCAUACUCCUUGGCCAGGCGCCUCUCUUAGGUACCUUAAGAUCCUCUCCACCAUAUUCCAAUGAUGCACCUUAGGAGCUCCCAUGUGUUGACUCACUUGAUUCACAGCAAAACACACAUCGGGUCUGGUGAUGGUUAGAUAGAUGAGCUUGCCCACCAUUCUUCUAUACUUCUUGAUAUCUCCAAAUGGUGUAGACCCAUACUCCCCCUCUCUCAGCACCUUGUAUCCUUCUUCUAAUGGAGUCUUGGCCUUUUUACUCCCAAGGUUUCCUGCCUCCUUUAAAAUAUCAAGUGUGUACUUCCUUUGAGAUAAGAAUAGCCCCUCUUUAGAGCGGAAGAUCUCAAUCCCAAGAAAAUACUUCAACUCUCCCAAAUCCUUGAUAUCAAAGACACUUUUAAGAAAUGUUUUAGUUGAGAGAAUACCUUCCUUGUUGCUACCAGUGAUGAUAAUGUCAUCCACAUAGACUAAGAUGACCACAAUACCUUGCUUACUAGUUAAUGUGAAGAGGGUGUAAUCAGCUUCUGACUUUACAAAGCCUCUUCCAUUGAGGGUGGUGCUCAACUUAUGGUACCAAGUCCUUGGAGAUUGCUUCAAGCCAUAAAUUGCCUUCUUUAAUCUGAGAACAUUUCCUGGCUUCACCAUGUUCUCAAGACCAGAAGGUGGUCUCAUGUAGACUUCAUCCUCCAAUUCUCCUUGAAGAAAGACAUUCUUGACAUUCAUCUGCCAUAAAUCCCACUCAAGAUUGACAGCAAGGGAUAAGAGAAUCCUUAUAGUGUGAAGCUUGGCCACUUGUGCAAAAGUGUCUAGAUAAUCUUCACCAUACACUUGAGUAUAUCCCCUUGCAACCAGUCUUGUCUUCUUUCUUUCUGGUUUUCCAUUGGCUUCAUACUUGAUAGUGUAGAGAAGCCGGCUUGUCACUGCCUUCUUUCCUUUUGGAAGUUCAGUCUCAAACCAUGUAUCAUUCUUGAUCAUGGCUCCCAUCUCAUCUCCAACAGAUUCUCUCCACUCCUUGUGUUGCAUAGCUUCUUCAUAUGUUCUUGGAAUGUAUUCCAGAUCCAAUUCACUGAUGAAGACUUGAUGAUCUUCUGGAUAUUGAGCAAGGGAGCAUACUGCACUUAUUGGGUGAACUACAGCUUCAGCAUUGAAGUAAACUUCUGUGUUGAUCCACUGUGAGGGUUUCCUGAUCCUUGUACUCCUUCUCAAAAGUUGUAUCUGCUCAGGUUCUGCUUCAUUUCCUUCACUUGGCGCCUCUACUUGAGUCUCAACAUCUGAUUCUGAUGGCAUCUCAUCUUGAUCAUGAGCUACAGAGCUCUCUUCAGGUUGAGCUUGUGUAGACUGCUAAACAUUUCUACUGCCCCCCUCAUGAUUAGGAUGAGUGCUCUCAACACUACCAGCUGCAGUAGAUGAUAAAUUUUCAGGGACAGGUUCCACACUUGGUAAAGAGGGCAUACUGAUUCCCAGGCUCUCCAUUACUCCCCUAAGGUUAUUUGCUCUAUCUGAGGCUGAUUGAGAAAGAUCUUUGAGCUCAUCCCAACUCUUUCCAUCAUAAUAGCCUCUAGAUUCUGCAAACUUCACAUCCCUCGAGACAAGAACCCUUCUUGACUCUGGAUCAUAGCACUUAUACCCCUUCUGAGUUGGAGAGUAACCAAUGAACAUAGCUUUUGAGUUUUUAGCAUCAAGCUUGUUCCUCAGCUCCCCAGGUAUCAUCACAAAACAGAGGCAUCCAAACACACGCAAAUGGUCCAAAGAUGGUUUGGUCUUAUUUAGAACCUCAAAAGGAGACAUGUCGUUGAGGACUUUAGUUGGAGUUCUAUUGAUCAGAUAAGUAGCAGACAUCACAGCAUCACUCCAGAAUCUUUUUGGAACAUUGGUGCGGAACAUCAUUGAUCUUGCUACCUCCAUCAAAUGUCUGUUCUUUCUCUCAGCAACUCCAUUCUGUUGAGGAGUGUAAGGACAACUUGUCUGGUGAGUAAUCCCAUGUUGAGCAAGAUAUUGCUUAAAUGCAUGACUUGUAUACUCUCCACCAUUAUCUGACCUUAGAAUUUUCAUCUUGGCAUUGAAAUGGUUGCAGAUAAGGGUCUGGAAAUUCUUGAAAGCAUCCAACACCCUGUCCUUAGACGGAAUCAGUGUCACCCAAGUGUAUUUGGAUUUCUCAUCAAUGAAGGUGACAAAGUAUUUGUGGUUCUCUCUAGACACACAUGGAGCAGUUCAUACAUCAGAGUGAACUAGGUCAAAACAUCUUUCAUAGAUGGUGCUAGACUGUGAGAAGACUGUUCUACAAUGCUUCCCCAAUAUGCAAGCUUCACAAUCAUCAUUCUUGAAGACCACACCUGGAAGCAUCAAGUUUAGGGCUCUUGUAUGAGGAUGUCCCAACCUAGCAUGCCAUAGUGUGCUAUCAACCCCGCUGGAUGUACUAGCCAAACACUGAGAAGUGGAUGGUCUAGACAUCUCUGUCUUCUGAAGAUGAUAUAGUUCAUUGUGAACGUGCCCCUUUCCAAUCACUUGGCAUGUCUUUAAGUCUUGAAAUUCAACCUCAUCUGGUUUGAAGACAACCUGACAACUCAGAUCAACAGUAGCUUUUCUCACAGAUAGCAAGUUUGAUGUAAACCAAGGCAUAUACAAGGCAGUAGAUUCCCUAUCAAACAACCUCAGGUUCCCCUAUCCCUUCUAUCUUAAUCUUAUCACCAUUUGCUAUUUGAACAUUCUCUGAGGCAGGCUGGACAUCACUCAUCAAGUUUCUAUCACUAAUCAUGUGAUGGCUUGCUCCUGAAUCUAUAAUGAUAGGUUUAGGGUCAAGAGAGUGUGUACCAGCCUUCUUGAAUGAGAUAAAGGCUUGGAUAAGGGAAUGUAGGUCACUCAUGGUUGCUGGACCAUCAGUGUUGGCUGCACUAUCAGUACUUCUCCAUGUUCCUUCUUCAUUUGAACCACCAAUGACAGAUGAAUACAUGGUUCGACCUUGAAUCGAUGGAUGCUCAAACUCUUUGAUUACAUUCUUAGCUUGAUUGAAGUCACUUCUUCUUGGCAUAUUGUGGUUCUUAUGUUGUUCCUUAGCCUUCUUGUACUCUGGAAACAACACCAUGUUGGAGUUCUCCCUCAUGGAGAGAUAUGGACCAGUGGACAAUAGAUUGUUCCUACUGAUUUUGAGAUAAACUGGACUUUGAAGAAGCUUUUCCUGAUAUGGUUGAAGCUUUCUUGAGUUCCAGAGAAUAGGGUACUCCUCUAUCUUGAGUUCUGGUGAGGUUCUUCCCUUUUGAAAGACCUUUGGACCAGUGGAUAAAAGGAUAUCCAACAGAUUUUGAAGAUAAUCUGAGAAAGAAAGAAAGAAAUUUGCGGAAGUUUUUGUGAGUUUCAGGAGCUUAAUGCUCUGAUACCAUGUUAGAAUGAGAGAAUUAUUGAGAGUUUAUUUAUGGAGAAUGAAGAACAUAGAGAGAGAGAGAGAGAGAAAGUAGAUCUCAAGAUGUAAGAGAGAAAAUGAGAGAAUAAUUUCUUUAAUUUAAUUGUGGAUAUGGGUACAAGUAUUUAAAGACAAGUGACCUCAGUACACAAUAUAAUAAAAUAUCUUCUUCUCUCUUUUUCUUCUCUUCAAUAAAAUCGAGCUUAUAAAACUCUUAUAAAGCCUUAUAAAAUCUUAUAAAACCUUUAUAAAGACUUUAUAAAACCUUAUAAAUCUGGCAGCUUAAUUCUCAAGUCUGGCAGUUUACUUCUGCUUCAUGUCUAACAGGUAACACAAACCUAGCCUUCUAAUGUCCCUCUAUAGUGUAUACCAUAAAAGAAGACCUAGGACUCGAUACCUAAGGCUAACAGAAAGUGUUAUGGAGAAAAACCAAGCAAACAAAACAAGUCAAAUCCUUGAAAGAUGUGUAGCAAGAAGCUGAGAACAACGUAUGAAAUUCCGCCAUGCAGCCUUUCUUGGAUAUCACGUAAACUUGAGAAAUACAUCAACGUCAAAUCUUACGUUGUAAACUAAAGCACAAAGACGCUUUGAUUCGCUAUAUUAAAUUAUGCUAUUAUGAGACCACAACUCUAAAGGAAGUGCUCCGUCAUAAUUGUCUCUUAGCAUAUAUUCAUAUUUUAUUUAUUUAAUAUAGUUAUAAAGUUACAUCUGUUUUGGCUUUAACAUGAUAACAUGAGUGAUAUCAUGUAUACACUGGUGUUUUUAAAGAAAAUAUUUUUUUUUUGGUUAAGGAAUUUAAAGAAAAUAUACACACUGGUGUUUUUACUUAACAAUAAAAAUAUAUACACUGGUGGUUCGUGAAAAUCUUUUUCUAGGUUGCUUAAGUCUCAUGAGUGGCUGGGAAUGUUUUCUGUUAGUGUCGUAAGAAAUAGUGUUAUAUAUGGGUUAACAGAGAGGUUAGAAACUGAUGCAAAAUCCCGUAAAACUGUUAAUAUUGUGUUGUCUUGAUUUUAUGUGUGAAUGCAUAAUAAUAUAUGUGCUGUGCUAGUACAUGCUAUAAUUUAAAUGAAAAAUAUGUAAUGGUGGUUAAUGAUGAUAUAAUCUGUUCGAGUAUAAUGAUCUACUCAGUUUAGGUGUUCCAAAAAGAUUGUUUAAUGUUCUUUUUGAUUUCAAUAUGAGAUUUUUCUAAUAUUUGAUGUAUCUGUUUGGAGAGAAAAAAAUAAUUAUAGGAGACAAUGAACACGUCAGUGAAUCCAUUACAAAGAUUAAGUAUGAUUUCGUAAGUGGAACCAUUUCAAAUUGAUACGGCAAAAGGAUGUUUAUCAAACUAUAUACUAAUAUUAUGACAAUGUGUUAGUUGAAUCGCAGUGGUAUUUUUUGUAAUUAUUCUAGUAAAAAGAGGAUAAUUAAUUAUUUAGAGUGAAGAGCACCGUGGAGCUAACACCUCAGCAAAAUGACGUAGAAAUAAAUAAUCUAUAUAAAUGUUUCUGUAUCUCCUAUAUAUUAAUUGAGAAGCAUUUGAAAAAUUAGAACCUUAAUUUUGUAUUAAUUAAAAAAAAUCUCAAAUCCUAGAUGGUACUCUAAAUGCCUUCUAAAUUUCAUUUCAAAGAAUUCUAGAGCAUCUAAUAUAAAGUAUAGUUUAAUCUAAUGGUGUCACAUUAUUCCAUAAUUAUAUAACACUAGAGAACAUUAUAUUAACCUAAAAUAUAUGAAGUAUGUAUUUUUUCCUUAAAUAAAAGCUACAGAAUUACCUAAUAUGAUUUACAUAUAUACAGGAAUUAAUGAUUAUGAAUAAUAAAGAUUUGAUAACAAUUUUUGCAUCCUUCUUCAUUUUUGUUUAAAUUUAUAUUAUUAAAAAAACUUAAACAAUCACAUUAACCAUAUAAUUAAAAAAAUUAGAUUUUUUCUUAUAUGUUAUAUUUUGAAUUUUUUAAAAUGACUUUAAAUUAUAAAAAUGAGGAAACCUUUAUAUGUUAUAUAUAUUUUUUAAACGACUUUAAAAUACAAAAAUGAGGACACCUUAUAUGUUAUAUUUUUCUUAUAUGCUAGAAUUUUCUUAUAUGUUAUAUUUUGAAUUUUUUUAAGACGACUUUAAAUUAUAAAAAUGUAAGUUUUCCUUAAGUAUACGACUAAAAACAUUAAUAUGAGAUGUAUCAAUUCGAUGGUUGAUUUGAAAGCUUUCAAAACCAUAUGGAAGAUAAAAGUGAAAAUAAUUCAACUGUGAAAACAAUACUGUUCACUUUUUUCAAGAAUGUGUUCGCUGGAAAAAAUAAGGUUUUUAUGUCAUAAUUUGUUUAAUGUCCACUAGAGAACAUUAUAUUAACCUAAAAUAUAAGAAGUGUGUAUUAUUUCCUUAAAUAAAAGCUACAGAAUUACCUAAUAUGAUUUACAUAUAUAUGACAAUUAAUGAUUAUGAAUAAUAAAGAUUUGAUAACAAUUUUUGCAUCCUUCUUCUUUUUUGUUUAAUUUUAUAUUAUUAAAAAAAUAAACAAUCACAUUAACCAUAUAAUAAAAAAUUAUAUUUUUUCUUAUAUGUUAUAUUUUGAAUUUUUUAAAAUGACUUUAAAUUACAAAAAUGAUGAAACCUGAUAUGUUAUUUUUUUUAAAACGACUUUAAAAUACAAAAAUGAGGACACCUUAUAUGUUAGAUUUUUUCUUAUAUGUUAUAUUUUGAAUUUUUUUAAAACAACUUUAAAUUACAAAAAUGUAAGUUUUCCUUAAGUAGACGACUAAAAACAUUAAAAUGACAUGUAUCAGUUCGAUGGUUGAUUUGAAAGCUUUCAAAACCAUAUGUAAGUUAAAAGUCAAAAUAAUUCAACCGUGAAAACAAUACUAUUCACUUUUUCCAAAUUGUGUUCGAGGAAAAAAAUAAGGUUUUUAUGUCAUAAUUUGUUUAAUGUCCACUAGAGAACAUUAUAUUAACCUAAAAUAUAAGAAGUGUGUAUUCGUUCUCUAAAUAAAAGCUGCAAAAUUACCUAAUAUGAUUUACAUAUAUAUGACAAUUAAUGAUUAUGAAUAAUAAAGAUUUGAUAACAAUUUUUUGCAUCCUUCUUCAUUUUUUUUUAAUUUUAUAUUAUUAAAAAAAUAAACAAUCACAUUAACCUUAUAUGUUAUUUAAAAAAAAAACGACUUUAAAAUACAAAAAUGAGGACACCUUAUAUGUUAGAUUUUUCUUAUAUGUUAGAUUUUGUCUUAGAUGUUAUAUUUUGAAUUUUUUAAAACCACUUUAAAUUACAAAAAUGUAAGUUUUCCUUAAGUAUACGACUAAAAACAUUAAAAUGACAUGUAUCAAUUCGAUGGUUGUUUCGAAAGGUUUCAAAGCCAUAUGGAAGAUAAAAGUGAAAAUAAUUCAACUGUGAAAACAAUAUUGUUCACUUUUUUCAAGAAUGUGUUCGAUGAAAAAAAUAAUGUUUUUAUGUCAUAAUUUGUUUAAUGUCCAAUCCGAUCAACCCAUGAUGUAUUAAUUAUAGUUUUGUUCCAUUAUUUUUAAUAAAAAUUGUUCCGAUCCAUCGGAAAGAAAUUAUAUAAUAACAACAAAAAAUAUUUUAUAUAUAUAAAUAAAAUGAUCACAUAUAUAAAAAAAAAACUAUCGAUAAUAUAUGCAAAUAAACUCAUGCUGCGCAAGGCGCAUAUCUUAUCCUAGUUAAUAAGUAAGAGAUUAAAGUCACGUGAAAUUUAUUGUUGUAUCUAACUCGGUUUUCUUUGUCAACAAAAGUUAUUGUAGAAUGAACGAGUGGUGCACGGUGAAUGAAUAUUGUGUAACAAUAUAUAAAUGUAAAUUGAAGUAAUAAUAUAGAAAAGUGGAAAGAUUCCAUUAUUGUGUUUCCCAAAAAAGGAAAGUGGAAAGAAAACAAGCUUGGUAACCAAGCCUGACCUGCUCUCUUUUAAAAUGUUGGAGUUGGAGAAGAAGAUAUAUGGGAGAUUUUUUAAUUUCUAAUUCAUCAAAACAUUAUUUAAGGUUUGUUUGAUUCUGUGUGUGAUAGGUGAUCUGGAGGUAUAUUGAAUAUACAAUGUCUCAGCUUCUCUCCCGUCUCUCCAAACUCUCGUCCCGGAACAAGACUGUUCUUGUACGUAUACGCAUCUCUCUCGCCCUCUCUGUCUAUUGGUUUGGAUCUCUAGUAGUUAGGUCUUGUUAAAUUAGAUAAGACUUUAAAUGAAUACCAAUGAGUUUGUCUCUGAGUAUUGACAUCAGGAAGAUAAGGCUCGGAGGGUUGAGAUUGCUUCUUGGCUUAGCUAUACAAAUAGUGUUUUGGAACGGUUCUGAUGUCUGAUUUACUUUACUUGGCAGAAACACAAGAACUCUCGUUUGUUAUCAACCAGCCCGUAUCUGAUUGUUGGCGUAUUUGCCGAAGAUGCUAGGGCAAGAGGUGGCGGCUUUCUCGGUGAUAUCCUCUUGUUCGACCCGGCAAAGGAAGAGUUACUCACCGUGCGCGACAAAACAGUGUCCGAAUAGCUUAUUUGCUCAAAAGUGAUGGGAGCGUCACAUGGAUGGGGUUUUUUCUCUGAUCUGCGCAAUCAUAACUCCGUACGUAUCACCGACUUUUUUAAUCCACUGGCUUCCAAAUCAGACAGCAAGAUAAUUCCUCUGCCUCCUCUUACUAGUAUGAUCUAUGGCCAAACCGAAGUGGUCUGGAACGUGGCCAUGUCGUCCUCUUCUCCUUAUCGUCAAGACAACGAGGAAGGAGACUGUGUAGUGGCUAUCAAGUUCUUGGGUAAUCAGUUGAGCAUGUGCAGGCCUGGGCGUGACCUAGCUUGGACUAACAAACUGAUCCCUUUCGUCGGCUUCGAAAACUCAAACCUCAUGUAUUCAAAGAGAGAUCAAAGGUUCUCCCUGCCUGCUCCUGGAGGCAACUACUUAUGCUCUUGGGAUCUCCACUUCGAGAACGAACCUAAGUUCACUGAGUUGGUGUUCCGAAACCUUCCUGAGUUGCCUCAGUCCGAAUGGGAGCUGAUGGAUUCUUGUUUCAGGGAGGACCAUUGGGUGGAGUCACCUUCCGGCCAAAGUUUCCUAGUCAAAUGGUAUAAUAACAAGUAACAUGCAUAUCACAUAAAUUUUAUCAAAUUUUAAUCAUAGUAAUCUGUCUUAUGUGUCUGUGCAGGUACUCUCAUGUACCUCCUAUAAGAUGCAAAGAGCCGAUGGUUAUGGUGUUUAGAGAGGACCAAGACACAAACGAGGGAACAAAAACCAUGUCUUACACCGAGGACAUAGGAGAUCUUUGCAUAUUCCUUUCGAAAAGCGAACCUUUCUGCGUUGUGGCUAGCUCUUUCCUUUGCAUAUUCCUCUCGAAAAGUGAACCUUUCUGCGUUGUGGCCAGCUCUUUCCCUGGUCUCAAGCCCAACUCCAUCUACUUGAUGGGCCGUUGCUUUGCUGUUUACGAUAUAACCACUAAAACCUCCCGUCACUUUGAACGUCCCAAAGGUGUACCAGAAAGUCUUACUAAUUUCCUCCCUUACUGGCUUCCUCCAUUUUCUAUCUAGUUCUAUGGUGUGUUGUAUUUCGAUUUCAGUACUUUCUCUCGAGCGUUUGGAUCGCUAUGAUCUAAGCUUAUAAUCAUCUUAAUUUAUGGUAUGUGACACUUGUUCUUCUAGAAAUUUUGGCCCCCAUCUCGCAUUACGAUAAUCACUUUAAUAUUUAGAAACAUACAAAAAUAUUAAGCAACAAUGCAAAUGUUUAUAUUAAUUUACACAGAAAAAUUUGUGAAGUACAAAUUUAUAUGAAAUGUAGUCGGCUAAUCAUAUUAUACUAUAAGUCACGUGAAAGUUAUUGAAUGCACUUGAUUUCUUUGUCAACAAAAGUUAUUAUUGACUGAACCAGUGGCCCAUGGUAAAAUGAAUACUUAUACCAGUAGCAAAUGUUUUCAUAAUUGUAAAAUGUUUGUAGCUAAUCUUAUAAAUGUUUAUGUAAUUAGUAAAAAGUUUGUAGGUCUAAUAACGCCACAGAAGAAAAUGAAAAAAACUAUAGGAAAAAUAAACUGGAAAAGAAAAGUUUCUCUGGUGACGAGUACAAUAGCUUGCCAAGAUUCCAUUAUUGCCUUUCACAAAAAAGGAAAGUGGGAAAAAAAAACCUUGGUAACCAAGCCUGACUUGCUCUCCUUUAAAUGGUGGAGAAAAAGAUAUAUUGGAGGCUUCUUUAUUUUCUAAUUCUUCUUUUUCUGUGCAACCUAUUUUCUAAUUCAUCAAAACAUUAUUUAAGUUUGUUUUAGUUCUAUGUGGUUUGAUUCGAAGGUGUCUUGAAUAUACAAUGUCUCAGCUUCUCUUCCGUCUCUCCAAACUCUCGUCCCGGGAGAACAAUGUUCUUGUAUGUAAAAUCUUCUCUUGGCUUCUUUGUCUAUUGGUUUAGAUCUGUAGUAGUUAGGUCUUGUUUAACUGGGUAGGCUUUUAGGGAACACCAAAGAGUUUGUGUCUGAGUACUGACAUCAGGAAGAUAAGGAACGAAGGGUUGAGAUUGCCCCUUGGCUUAGCUAUACAAAAAGCGUUUGGAAACUACUGUUCGGUUCUGAUGUCUGAUUUUCUUUACUUGGCAGACACACAAGAGCAGUCGUUUGUUCUCAACCAGCCCGUAUCUGACACUUGGCACUAGGGUCAAAGAAGUUCUGCCCGGUGGCUGCAAAAUUGCAGAUGUUCUCUUGUUCGACCCGGUUGAAGAAGAGUUAGUCACCGUCCCCGACAAAACAAUUCCCAAAGAGCUCAUGGACCAAGAAAUGGUCGGUGCUUCCCAUGGAUGGGGAUUUUUCUGUGCUCGGCACGAUCGUUCCGUACGCAUCACCGACUUAUUCAACCCUUUGGCAUCCAAAUCAAACCCCACCGUGAUUACUCUUCCUCAGCUUACCGCUCUGCCCUCUAACCAAAUCGAAGAAGUCUGCAACGUGGCAAUGACAUCGUCCCCUCACCUUGAAGACUGUGUAGUGGCUAUCAAGUUCUCAGGUAACCAGAUGAGUCUGUGCAGGCCCGGUCGUGACCUUGAGUGGACUAACAUCUUGACCCCUCCUAACUGCUUGGAAAACUCAAAUCUUAUGUAUUCCAAAAGAGACAAAAAAUUCUACUUGCCUGCUCCUGGAGGUAAAUACUUGUUCUCCUAUCAUCUUCACUCCAAAGAAGAAGAUAUCCCUGAGGUCCAAGAGGUGGUCUACCGCGGCCAUCCAGAGUUGGAUCAGUCAGAAUGGGAGCUUUUGAGUUCGUGUACCAGGACGGAGUAUCUUGUGGAGUCAUCCUUUAGUGGUGAACGUUUCCUAAUCAAAUGGUCUCAUCUCUAUACAUCCUGGUUUUGUUUAUUAGAUAAAAUGAUGUAGCGGAAGUUUUAUAAGAUAGAACUAUAGAGAAAAUGCUGAGAAGAGUUUUUUGUUUCUUGAACGGCGGUGCAGGUAUGCACUUGGUUUCUACUCGUCGGUGUUGAAAGGAGUCUACCACAUAACGAAGAGGUUCAUGGUGUUUAGAGAGGAGGAGACUACAGAGGGAAGCAUCAUGUGUUACACUGAGGACAUUGGAGACAUGUGCAUUUUCCUUGCAAACAGCGAGGCUUUCUGCGUCCCCGCCAGCUCUUGCGCCGGCCUCAAACCCAACUCUAUAUAUCAUAUGGGACGUGGCUUAGGUUUUUACGAUCUCACUACUGGAAACCCACAUCAGUACCUAGCUCCUGAUGGUGCACCCAGCGUUCUCUCGCAACCUUACUGGCUUCCUCCUUUUUCUACCUAGAGGUAGUAGACUAGUAGUAGUAGUAGCUCUUGUUGUGUUUAACUCUUGGUUACUC